CCUCGGGAGGCAGCAGUGGGGAAUAUUGGACAAUGGGGGCAACCCUGAUCCAGCCAUGCCGCGUGUGUGAAGAAGGCCCUCGGGUUGUAAAGCACUUUCAGUGAGGAAGAACGCCUGGUGGUUAAUACCCAUCAGGAAAGACAUCACUCACAGAAGAAGCACCGGCUAACUCCGUGCCAGCAGCCGCGGUAAUACGGAGGGUGCGAGCGUUAAUCGGAAUUACUGGGCGUAAAGCGCGCGUAGGUGGCUUGAUAAGCCGGUUGUGAAAGCCCCGGGCUCAACCUGGGAACGGCAUCCGGAACUGUCAAGCUAGAGUGCAGGAGAGGAAGGUAGAAUUCCCGGUGUAGCGGUGAAAUGCGUAGAGAUCGGGAGGAAUACCAGUGGCGAAGGCGGCCUUCUGGACUGACACUGACACUGAGGUGCGAAAGCGUGGGUAGCAAACAGGAUUAGAUACCCGGGUAGUC
This 464-nucleotide ribosomal RNA is filed under the name Vreelandella stevensii. Its description in RNAcentral is "partial 16S ribosomal RNA". It matches the Rfam family "Bacterial small subunit ribosomal RNA", at positions 339 to 795 of the family's 1533-position model. The record is from RNAcentral. Lineage: Bacteria; Pseudomonadati; Pseudomonadota; Gammaproteobacteria; Oceanospirillales; Halomonadaceae.